AUUCCAGCUCCAAUAGCGUAUAUUAAAGUUGUUGUGGUUAAAAAGCUCGUAGUUGGAUCUCGGCGGACUGAGGGCGGUUUGCUUGCUAGUAUUACUGCCCUAUAGUCCGUAGUUUUGCCAGAGGUUUCGGGGUGCUCUUAAUCGAGUGUCCCGGGAUGCUGGCAGGUUUACUUUGAAAAAAUUAGAGUGCUCAAAGCAGGCUAUUACGCCUGAAUAUUCGUGCAUGGAAUAAUAGAAUAGGAAGUCGUUUCUAUUUUGUUGGUUUUCGGAAAUCGACUUAAUGAUUAAUAGGGACAGUCGGGGGCAUUUGUAUUCAAACGACAGAGGUGAAAUUCUUGGACCGUUUGAAGACAAACUACUGCGAAAGCAUUUGCCAAGAAUGUUUUCAUCA
RNAcentral lists this ribosomal RNA (391 nucleotides) under Calanus sp. RNAcentral's name for it is "partial small subunit ribosomal RNA". It matches the Rfam family "Eukaryotic small subunit ribosomal RNA", at positions 582 to 975 of the family's 1831-position model. Lineage: Eukaryota; Metazoa; Arthropoda; Copepoda; Calanoida; Calanidae. The record is from RNAcentral.